UACAGAGGGUGCAAGCGUUAAUCGGAAUUACUGGGCGUAAAGCGUGCGUAGACGGUUACAUAAGUCGGAUGUGAAAUCCCCGGGCUCAACCUGGGAACUGCAUUUGUGACUGCAUCGCUGGAGUACGGCAGAGGGGGAUGGAAUUCCGCGUGUAGCAGUGAAAUGCGUAGAUAUGCGGAGGAACACCGAUGGCGAAGGCAAUCCCCUGGGCCUGUACUGACGCUCAUGCACGAAAGCGUGGGGAGCAAACAGG
This 253-nucleotide ribosomal RNA is filed under the name uncultured bacterium. RNAcentral's name for it is "partial 16S ribosomal RNA". It matches the Rfam family "Bacterial small subunit ribosomal RNA", at positions 524 to 776 of the family's 1533-position model. The record is from RNAcentral.